UACGCCCGAUCUCGUCCGAUCUCAGAAGCUAAGCAGAGUUGGGCUUGGUUAGUAGUUGGAUGGAAGACUGCUUGGGAAUACCAGGUGCCGUAAGCCU
Molecule: ribosomal RNA, 97 nt
Filed under: Halobatrachus didactylus (Lusitanian toadfish)
Lineage: Eukaryota; Metazoa; Chordata; Actinopteri; Batrachoidiformes; Batrachoididae
Source: RNAcentral